RNAcentral lists this ribosomal RNA (487 nucleotides) under uncultured bacterium. RNAcentral describes it as "bacterial SSU rRNA". It matches the Rfam family "Bacterial small subunit ribosomal RNA", at positions 28 to 526 of the family's 1533-position model. The record is from RNAcentral.
GACGAACGCUGGCGGCGUGCUUAACACAUGCAAGUCGAACGGUGAAGCUCAAGCUUGCUUGGGUGGAUCAGUGGCGAACGGGUGAGUAACACGUGAGCAACCUGCCCUGGACUCUGGAAUAAGCGCUGGAAACGGCGUCUAAUACUGGAUAUGACAUCAAGCCGCAUGGUUAUGGUGUGGAAAGUUUUUCGGUCUGGGAUGGGCUCGCGGCCUAUCAGCUUGUUGGUGAGGUAAUGGCUCACCAAGGCGACGACGGGUAGCCGGCCUGAGAGGGCGACCGGCCACACUGGGACUGAGACACGGCCCAGACUCCUACGGGAGGCAGCAGUGGGGAAUAUUGCACAAUGGGCGAAAGCCUGAUGCAGCGACGCCGCGUGAGGGAUGACGGCCUUCGGGUUGUAAACCUCUUUCAGCAGGGAAGAAGCGAAAGUGACGGUACCUGCAGAAGAAGCACCGGCUAACUACGUGCCAGCCGCCGCCGUAACAC